This is a non-coding RNA of Mugil cephalus (flathead mullet), 727 nucleotides long. Lineage: Eukaryota; Metazoa; Chordata; Actinopteri; Mugiliformes; Mugilidae. The record is from the annotation of a RefSeq genome assembly.
GUGUGUUUGCAUAUGUGUCCUGCCUCUCUGCUCCCAGCCGUUAAGAGGCCAGUGUUGAUCAGUGGCUGUCCAGGCCUUUCACAGCCACUGACACGCCGGCAGCACAAUGAUGAUGUCACUGACUCUACUGCUGGCCGCCCUGGGGCUCCUUGUUCAGGGUUCAUCAGGAGAUAUCAUCCUGACUCAGUCUCCUGGAUCUCAGUCUGUUCUUCCAGGACAGUCUGUCUCCAUCACAUGUAGAUCCAGUUCAAGUGUUGGUAGCUACCUCCACUGGUACCUUCAGAAACCUGGAGAAACUCCUAAACUAAUGAUUUAUACAGCUACAUCUCGUCAGUCUGGAGUUUCAGAUCGUUUCAGUGGAAGUUAUUCUGGAUUUGUCUUCACUUUGACCAUCAGUAGAGUUCAGGCUGAAGAUUCAGGAGUUUAUUAUUGUCAGCAGAGUAACAGCUUCCCGUUCACACAGUGAAAAACCGUCGUACAAAAACCUCCAUCAGCUGAAGAGGAACUGAUCAACAGCUGCAAUGAAACUAAACCAACAGAGGUUUGACAAAUACAAAUAUGAAUCAUAAAAUGACACAAACGCUGGUGAUAUUUUACUUUAAAUUAUUAACAUAUUAAGUCUAGUUUAAGACAUCAAUAUUUUUCAUCAAUUUUUUUUCCUCACCACAAGUGCAACAAUUCUAGUGCAAUAACACGAUGUUCAAUACGCUACUGUGUACAUUCAGAU